GUUCUGUGUUGGUCUUGCUGGCAGCUGCAGACCAAAGCUGUUUCUAUUCGGCCAUCUUGCCAGGCCCCCAUUAUUCAAGGCCUUUACAUUGAUUAAGUCAUUUAAUCUACUCAAUACUAAUUUCAUUUUAGUAAUAGUACUAAUUAUACAUAUUAAUAUAUUACAGGAGGAAUUUGAGAUCCAGAGCAAUUGGGACAAUUUCUUGAGGUUAACAGCUAGUAAGUGGGGGAGUUAAGAUUGCACCCACAUUUGCCUAAUUUGAAAAGUGACGCUCUUUCCACUAUGCGUUGUGGCUUCUUAUGAUCAAAAUGUUCUUUUAAAUGAGAAGUCCAGGAAAAGCUAUCUGGGGGCAUCUUCAGGGAGAUACUAUUAGUGAUGCAUAGAAUGACUACAUCUGAUGUAAUGAGUUGUAAACAUCUGAAAGGAGCUACUGAUUAAUACAGAAGAAGAGGGGUAGAAAAAGAACGCAGACAGACACAGUGCUGCUGGAAUGUCCCAGGUUUCUGUGUGGCAGAGCCCUGGAGAGUGCUCUUGGUGUUGUCCAUGCGGCCCUGCCUAGCUAAGCACAGGAGCUGUCACUCCUCGGAAGGUGGCCACACCAAGCUGCUCUCUCACUGGCUCCUGCUGAGCCAUGCCUUCCCCGCUUUCAUUCCGCAUCUUACCACAAAGAGAACUCAUUUUGCUCACAAACACUAGAACUCAAUGAUAAAUAAAUCAACUUGUGAAUAUGAAGGCAACCACGUUCUGGCCUCAGAAGCCUUGCUUUGCCUGACGACUACCAGGGCUCCCUCUAGGCCUCAAAGGCAUUAUGCCAGUCACCUUAUGGAAAUUUAAGUGAGUAUGUUGAGAUGUUCUUUAAGCUGCUGGGUAGCUGAUCAGCAGGAGGCAUUGAUCUCCCAGCACAGAGAUGUUCCAAAGAGGAAAAAGGAAAAUAAUUAGAAAAUCAAAGAAAUGCCUAUUACCAGCUCCGCUGUGGUCAUAAGCUUUGAAAUAAGGAGUUAGCACUAAGAUGCCUGUGGCUCAGGGCUGGCCAGAAAGUGGAAGUAUAGAGUGGGUGAGGUUUUGUGUUCAUCCUUCCUCCCACCCCACCAUUGCUGCUCACCGCCCAACCCAACAAGUGCAUGCACAGCCUGUGAGCCUUUCCUCAUGGGCCUACUCAUCCUACCUGCUGGGGAAGUAAUCUUCCCUAAGAUUGGUGGCAUUCCCUGAAACUGGUGACUAACUGCAUGACUGCAGAGAGAAGACCUGGUUUUAGACGUUAUUUUCCAUGUAUGAGCUGUGGGAUAUGGCUUAACCUCCGGGGAUCAGGUUCCCCACUCAUAACAUGUUGAUACCAAUACCUACUUUAUAAGGUUAUCAUGAGAAUCAAACUAGAUAAUGCAUGUAAAUCCCUCAUCAUAAAACCCAGCACAUAGUAAGAAUUCAGGAGAUAGAAGUAUUUUCUCACUCCUCCCUGUGUUUCCAUGGAGGACCUCUGUUCCACUGAGCAGAAGAAAGCCAGAUUGGAUGAGCACAUCUGUUAGCUCUUUGAGCCUCUCAUUCACUCCUCUCCAAUGCAGGGGAAGUGGCUUUGCUGACUAGUAAGAGUCUGCCUUUCCUCAGGCUCCAUGUAAGGACAAUUAAGCUCAAAUAUGAUCUGGUAUUUUCCCUGUGCUCUGCAAAAUUCACAUUCUAGCAAGGUAACCUGUUUCAUUGCUCUACCAGGGCUUGUGCACAGCCGGCAUAGCUCAGGCAGAGCCUCACGCCUGCCUCUGACACUGUCCUCAAAGCCUCUUUGAUUUCCCCCUUGCAUUUGAUUGGGUAAGACACAUUCCUCCCCUCAGAAGGUAGGCAUGAGGGAGCUAGCGUUCGUUUUGCUGACCCAGCCUCUCCCCAAGAAAGGCCACAGGAUCUAGAUAUGAUGAUGGUGGUGGCAGGAGGCCUAAGAUGCAUCUGACAAGACUGUACGGCUCUAGAGCCCUGGGUUUCAGGGUAGUAAAGUCCUUACUGGACUUUGACCUCAUCCACAGUCUUGUUUCUGUUCUUAGUUGCCACAGGGCUUCAAGAGGAGGGCUAAUGUGAGUAAUAAGUAAACAAGACGUCGUCAGUGAGUACAAUCUGUAACAUAAUUACAAGUAUUAAAAUCUCAUAUUUUUAUUAUCCGAAACAUUCCCUAAAGGAGAAGUUCUCCCAGGAACUUUGGAAAUUUAAUGCGAGAUUUCUAGACCUGUGACAUUAUCAACCACGAGGCAUGAGAAUCUAUGGUGGCUCUCCAUGUAAAUACCGAUGGCACGGCUUCCUGUUAUUUCCAUCUCUUAAUUCCUGAUAUGAGCAGAUUCUUACCUGUUUGCUCCUGAAUUUAGCCCUGAGGACAAUCUUUUCUUCUUAGCUAUCAGAACAAGAACACUGGAGUUGAUUAUCUUUCUAAGCUCAGAUAGAAGCAGAGUCCAAAUCUAUAACAGUCUUUUUCAUCAAUGAGGAAUAUGAGUGUGAUGGUGAUGGCAGGAAGGUAAAAGAAGGAAAAUAUCCCAGAAAUAGAUUUGGAAAAAUAUCUUGUGUCUCCCUAUUUCUGCUUUCUAGAGACAGUGAUGCCCUAGCAGUAUUGAAAACAGCUAGCACCUUGAUCUUGGUUCCUAAAUACCAUCCACUACUCAAGAGAACUAGGUUUUCUUGGAGACAGGCUUGACUUCAGGACUGGAAAGAGAAGGCAGAAGUGCGUCUAAAAUGUUCUGUCAUGCCAGAGAGAAAGAAAAUGUGCAAAAAAUAAUGAGCACACAUCAAAAUAGCACAGGGCCAGCUUGAUGGGACACUAUCUGGCCAAAUCUAGGACAAAUGAAAUCAAAACAAAUAACAUAAAUUGAUUAUAAUCUGUUGAAUAGAAUAAAAUGUCAUGGUCCCAUGCUUAUAAUUUAAAAAAAAAAAACUAAAUAAAUGUUGUAAAGGGGAAAGUUCUUCCUUACAUAAAUAUGUCAACUAAUAACUAUAUAAGGAAUGAUGGCAUCAGGGAAAAAAAGCCAGCAUCAUGCAUCCGUACCAGUGACAACCAGCUCAGGUGAGAAUUAUCAAAGGCUGCUACACAGAAAUUCAAUGAAGGAAAGUUAUUUACAUAGUCUCAAAAUGUCUUUCCAGCAAUUACUUACUAAUCUCAGAAAAAUGGUAACAUUAAAGUGGAGAAUCCUGGCAGAUACUUCCUUAACCAAGUGAUCAUUGCUAGCAUCACCAAUACUGAGACAUGCCAACAGCAUGCCCUCCUACCAUGAACUUUCAUGUAUAUGGUAUUCCUGCCCAUAAAUGUAUAACCUGAGUCCAGGACAUAUCAGACAAACUCUUCUCCUGGAACCUCACAUAGUAGAAGGGGCAGAAGUCUCUGUUGAGACCCUUUUAUAAGGGUACUAACCCCAUCAUCAAUUGUCCACCCUCAUGACCUGAUCACCUCCCAAAGCCACCACCUCCUGACCCCUCACACUGAGGAUUAGGAUUUUAGUAUGUAUUUUGGGGUAUACAAACAUUUCAGACCAUGGCAGGGACAAUGCCUUGACAGAAGAAGGCUAAAACCAUUAAAAAAAAAUGACAACCAGAUGCAUUGUGUGAUCUGGUACCAGAUCCAAGAUGGAAGAAAAAUAAAAGAUAUUACUAGCAAAAAUGGAAAAUUCUGAAUAAUAACUGCAUAUUAUAUGAUGUUGUAUAAACGUUAAAUAUCCUUUCGUAAUUGUAAGAGAAUAUCUUGUUCUUAACAUAAACACAUGGAAGUGUUGGAGAAAAGGGUUAUGAUGUUUGCAGCUAUAUCUGAAAUGGUCAGAAAAAUAUUGAUUCACACAGAUAUGUACAUUAUCUAUGUUUAUCUAUCUAUCUAUCUACCCAUCUCUCCAUUCCUAGAAAUGAUGAUAAAACAAAUGUGAUGAAAUAUUAACAGUAGGCAAAUCUUUCAGGGGGUUAGUGAGUGCUUUUGUACUAUUCUGGAAAUUUUUCUAUAAGUGUGAAAUUAUUUUAAGGUAAAAAGCUAAAAAGGAGUUUAUAUAUGUAGACUAUUUACAGUUACAAGAGCAGCCAAACAUAUUAGUUUAUUCGACCUUCAUUAAGGAGCCCUGGGUGGUGUGUGUGUGCACGCACACAUGUGUAUAUGCAUGCUCACGUGUGUUAGUAAUAGCCUUAUUUUACACAUGAGUAAACUGAAGCUCUGAGAGGUUAUGGGAUUUCUUUGAGGUCAAUAACUAAUAUUAGCACAGAAAUUCAGAAACCAUGAGUCCACCUGAAGCCGGCACCAAAAGUUCUUCACUAAUUCCUUCUGAACUUCCAUUUAGCCGACAUACUGCAUUACCCAGACUUCUCCACUCUCUGGCAGUCAUGGGGACUGACUUCCAUAGUGUGCUGAAUUCCCAGUCUAUGCCAUUUGCUCCCUCUGGCUUACCCAGGUGCUCAUGCGUUUACUAGUUGAGCCAUAUGCUUACCAAGAGUCAGCUGCAUCAUUUCCAAACUCUGUGCUUACCAGGUGUACUUGUUCACUUAAUUACAUAAUUUACCUAAAACCCUCACAAACUGGUACAAUCUGAGUGUAAAAAGAGAAUUGUCAUUUCUAUGAAAACUAAGUAGAAUAUUUUAGAAAUAUUCAAUAUAAUAGCUUGGAAAAAAAAAACCCUCCUGCAGUUGAAUUAAAUAUGGGGGAAAAACCUAGUAGGGAUGGGGAGAAAUCAUAGAGUCUAGAAAUAUUUUAUACUCAGAUAGGUUCACAUUAGGAACCUUCACCCUCAUGCUCGACUUUAAAGAAAUUCAAAGUAGAAAUCAAGAGUGAUACUGUCAGAAUAUUGUCUAUUCAAGGAGACACCAGUUUCCAGUCAGCAGACACAGUCUCAAAGAGAUGGUGUUGACCCAGUGUCAGAAGUCAAACAAAGGUACACGUACACGCUGUGGUAUAUUUACAAGUCUUCUCCAUGGCUGCUUUUGAAACACCAGUGUACUCAGCUUUUUCUUGUAACAAGGUACCUGCUUAUUCUAUUGGAGACGCGUAAAGGGCUUCUAUUCAUUGUUCUGAUUUUAGACUAUUCCCAGUUCCCUACAGCUCCACCCUGCCCAGUUUAGAUUCUAUAACCAUCCAAAAGACCAUCUAUGAUUCAGAACUGGUGAAUGGCUUGCCCCCAUUCCGUCGAUCUCUACAUGACACUAUCAACUGAUAUGCAGUAGGACAUGGAGUGAUUCAUUUAACUCCUCCCCCUGCCUCCAGACCACUGAACUAUCCAUCGUCCAAAAUAUGAGCUCAGUUAAAGCAACAUGGGAAGCAUUGAGGCUUCUACAAUUUGGGUACUGUCCAUUAAAAUAAUACAUCUACAUAUAUCUACACUGAGUGCUCUCAUUAUUUAAACUGGGAAACAAUUAAUGUGUGUAGCUAUCAUUUACAAACCAUUCGGUCUCCGAAUGCUUGCAAUAGAUUUACUCUCAGUGUUACUCUGACCUGGUGACCUAGAAAAUGUCCAAGAGAAGGUAAGUCAUUUAAAGGAGGAAACAAUGCCACUAUCUCCUUUCACACUCAUUGCUGCUUGAAUAAAAGAAGGAAAACGAAGCAUACACCCUCUGCUCUGAGUGCCAGCCAGGCCCCCAGCAAGGAGACCCGGGCUCCCCAGGUGAAGUUCCUUAAAUCUUACAUUGCUGCCCCUCGCCAAGCCCACAGGUAGGUGAAAGCAGUGGGUGGUGGGAAGAAGCGGGAGGAGAAAGUGGGACACAGAUGAAAGGAGCACUUUAUUUGAUAAAAUCGUAAAGAGCAGCUUGUACUGUAGAGCAAGAAUCUCCAAGUAAUAAAUGUCAGGUUUAUGAACAAUUGAGCCUCUCCUUUCCUGACUGAAAUUGCUCUUUGAGGUCAGCUCUGUAAGUGCUCUGUGAGGUGAGGAGGCUGCGCUGCUGAGGGGGUUUGAGGUCGCUGAUGCACCACUGGGAACGGGAAAGGGGGUGUGGGGGUGUGGGGGUAUUGGGUUUGCCCAUUGUGUUAUUAGGGUCUACACUGAAAGAAGUGAUAACUAUGCUGAGUAGUUUUUUUGUAUUUUUUUGUUUUUUGGUUUGUUUGUUGUUUUUUUUUUUUGAGACGGAGUCUCGCUCUGUUGCCCAGGCUGGAGUGCAGUGGUGCGAUCUUGGCUCACUCCAAGUUCCACCUUCCAGGUUCACGCCAUUCUCCUGCCUCAUAUGCUGAGUAGUUUUAAUAAAGAAAAGCAUCCAGACAUCCCCACAAACAAGACUUUGUGACUGGAGCCUCAGUAAGGGGUCACUGAACUCCAGAACCACACUCACUCAACAAGACAAAGUACCUUCCUCAACACCAGGCUGCUGAACCCUCCCAUAGCUCACACACAGCUGCCCAUUGUCAAAAACAAAAGCAAUGAGUGAGAUGGAAUUCUCUUUUCAAUAUCUGCUCCUACCCUCAAAGUAGACGCUGCCUUUGGGUGGGCCAGUCCAGUAGCAUAACCAAGGAAUGUAAAUCCUCAGCAUGUAAAGGCGGGGUGGAAAGAAGCCACAGACACGCAUGUGGGAGACUCGCGCACCCACACCAAAGCUGACUUCGAUGCUUAAAGGUCGAAGCACCGGACCCCUCUUCUUUUAUCUCUGUGGUAGAGACAAACACAACUUACAUCUCAUUUCCUCAUGAUCUACAGUGAAAGAAAGUGAGUGGAAUACAGGUUAUAGGCAUUUACAAGAUUCCAGUCCAUUGAGACCUUGCACAUGGGAACACAACAGCAUCUCUUCAAAUGCAAUUUUGAAGAUGUUCACACAGGCAUCAUGGGGAGAAGACUGGAAGGAAUGCUCUGCACCCUGGGGUUGUGUGCUGAGUGCGACUCUGGGGAAGAAAAUGACUCCACAGCUUAAAUAAAAAUGUUGAAGGCCACUGUGAGCUACAUCUCAAAUGGCCCCCGAGGGAUCUUUUCCAUGGCCUUAGCUCACUUGCAGAAGACAUCUGCAUGGCCCAGCAAGCUCCGCGGAUGCAGAGGCAGAGUGUGAUCAAAGCCCAGCUCAGCUCUCCUCUGGUCGCCGAAUACCUGUCUGGGGCACAUUGGAGAGGAGCAGGGGACCUGCAGACUGUGCCCAUCAAGACAGCGACUGCCAUUUUCUGUGCCUCCAGGACUGGGGUCAUCAUCAGGGCUGUGCAUACAGGACAAAAAGCUCUCAUUUUUCCAUCUGGCAUUCCUCAUCUCUGGAUCGGCAUGGGCAGCAGUAAAUUCCAGGAGAGACCUUAGCCAACCAUCCCCUUUGUUUCCUGAAAGAAGAGAGGUUUAUGUUCUCCUGGAAGGCUGACCAGCAGUAACUUAGGGAAGCCACAGGCCAGCAGCACACUGAAAUGCAGAUGUGAUUAGAUAAACGAGGGAGCAAAGGCAUGUUGUGUCAUUAUAGCUUUACAUAAACUCUCC
Molecule: long non-coding RNA, 7364 nt
Filed under: Homo sapiens (human)
Lineage: Eukaryota; Metazoa; Chordata; Mammalia; Primates; Hominidae
Description: HSALNT0365898
Source: RNAcentral